CAAUAGCGUAUAUUAAAGUUGUUGCAGUUAAAAAGCUCGUAGUUGGAUUUGUGGUGUACUUCGGCGGCCCGUCACUAUGUGAUGGAGCUUGCUGAAGUCGCCAUCCUUGGGUGGAUCCUGUGUGGCAUUAAGUUGUCGUGCAGGGGAUGCCCAUCGUUUACUGUGAAAAAAUUAGAGUGUUCAAAGCAGGCUUAUGCCGUUGAAUAUGUUAGCAUGGAAUAAUAAGAUAGGACCUUGGUACUAUUUUGUUGGUUUGCGCACCAAGGUAAUGAUUAAUAGGGACAGUUGGGGGUAUUCGUAUUUCAUUGUCAGAGGUGAAAUUCUUGGAUUUUUGAAAGACGAACUACUGCGAAAGCAUUUACCAAGGAUGUUUNCAUUAA
RNAcentral lists this ribosomal RNA (380 nucleotides) under uncultured eukaryote. Its description in RNAcentral is "partial 18S ribosomal RNA". It matches the Rfam family "Eukaryotic small subunit ribosomal RNA", at positions 592 to 976 of the family's 1831-position model. The record is from RNAcentral.